This 1349-nucleotide long non-coding RNA is filed under the name Homo sapiens (human). RNAcentral's name for it is "non-protein coding lnc-RNF223-1:1". The record is from RNAcentral. Lineage: Eukaryota; Metazoa; Chordata; Mammalia; Primates; Hominidae.
CCCCCCAGGAGCAAUGGGCCCAGGCCCCGCCUCCCGCACACACCCACCCUGAUGUAGUCGGCUCCGGGCCCGCUGUCAUCCUCGUUGAGCAGGAUGACUCAAGGGUAGCAUCAACUGGGAAGGGAGGUGCCGCUCAGUUCUCCAGGGCACAGCUCGUGGGCCUCACCCUGCCUCUUUGCCCGCAGACCCUGUGGUGAGCAGAGAUGGAGGGUCCAGGGUAUGCAAGGGGGAGCCUCAGGUCAGCGGUGGCAGAUGCUCGGCCUGCCCCCCACCUCCCCCAGGCCCGACGGGUGACGCCCUGGCCUCCGCCCUCACAGGGAAGGAUGUUCUUGUAGUGAUUCUUGGGCUUGUUCUCCACACUCUGCCCCUCCUUCCGAGGGUACAGGAACCGGCAUUCCUGCUGCUGCAGCAUCUGGAGGUGAUGGAGCCUUCAGCUCACAGCCCCGGCCCCUUCCCAGAGCCCGAGAUGGCCACCCCCAGCCCGUCCCGUGUGGGCGGAAGAGUACCUAGGUGCCGAGGCAAGAGACUGAAGGCACAAACUGUUUCAGUAUAAUAAAGAAAAUAGAAUAAGAAUAGUCAUAAUACAAAUUAGAUACAGCGAUGAUCAUGAACAAUUAUCCAUCAUUAUUAUAAACAUUAUUAAUCAUUAGCUUUUAAUAUUACUCUGUUGCAUUAAUAAUAUAACCUAGGAAUAACCGGCAGGUAUAGGGUCAGGUGCUGAAGGGACAUUGUGAGAAGUGAAUAGAAGGCAAGAGGGGAGCCUUCUGUCAUGCCCGCAUAAGGGCCGCUUGAGGGCCCCUUGGUCAAGCGGUAACGCCAGUGUCUGGGAAGGCACCCGUUACUGAGCAGACCGGGAAAGGGAGUCUCCUUUCCUUGGAGGAGUCAGGGAACGCUCUGCUCCACCAGCUUCUUGUGGGAGGCUGGAUGUUACCCAGGCCUGCCUGCAGUCAUCCGGAGGCCUGAACCCCUCCCUGUGGUGCUUCAAUGGUCACGUUCCUUGUCCACUUUCAUGCUCCUUCCGUACUCCUGGUUCCUCUUUGAAGUUCGUAGUAGAUAGCGGUAGAAGAAAUAGUGAAAGUCUUAAAGUCUUUGAUCUUAUAAGUUCAUAGAAGAAAACGCUGAUGCCUGCCGCCUUCUCUCUCUGCUUCAGCUACCUAAGAGGGAAGGGCCCGCUGUCCUGUGAUCACGUGACUUGCUUCACCUUGUCAAUCACUUAGAAGACUGACCCUCCUUAUCCUGCCCCCUUGUCUUGUAUGCAAUAAAUAUCAGCGAGCCCAGCCGUUCAGGGCCACUACCGGUCUCCGUGUCUUUGUGGUAGUGGUCCCCGGGGCCCAGCUGUUUUCUCUUUA